This 911-nucleotide ribosomal RNA is filed under the name uncultured bacterium. RNAcentral's name for it is "partial 16S ribosomal RNA". The record is from RNAcentral.
GCUACCUUGUUACGACUUCACCCCAAUCAUGGAGUCAUACCUUGGGACGGCUGCCUCCNUUGCGGGNUAGCUGACCGGUCUUACUAGUCACANCACCUACUUUCGUAGGAUGAGACGGGCGGUGUGCACAGAGGCCCCGGAGAAACGUUAUCUCACCGUCAGCAGUCGNCUAGAUCGCUGCCUGUAUAUCAACUACGACGAAUCUGCGCAGUCUUUCNUCGCAGCNACGAGUGUGCAGCAGCUGCAUACUCGCCGAANGCUGACGGAGCGGCUUUUUGCCGAAUUAGUCUCCCUCUCACGGGUGUUGCGCACGGUNUGCACNGACCAUUGUACNNCACGUGUGUAGCCCUCGCUGAGCAUCAUUAGAGAGCGCACUCGAUGAGAGCANCUGUAGCAUCGGNUAUCCCACAUUCUUUUCUCCGNUCGAUAUNGCCGAGAGGAGCAGUCUAUCGCUGACAGAGUGCUCCAUAUUGGAAAUAGAUGGGGCCAAAUCUAGGCAGACUNAAAGGGGUUGGCGNNUCNGUUUGCCGGGGAACNUUAAAACCCAAAACAAUCUCUCCACGGACACGAAGCCUGAACGAACCGAGCCCAUGCAGGGCGACCNUAUAGUAGGCGGCCCUUGCGGGGCAAAGAUCGGUUUAUUCNCCAACCUCCAUCCCGGAUUCNCCAACUUCCCAAUUUUAACUGUAAGGCCCACCACGGGUCAAAGGGGUAAUGCGUUUUUCCGGCCUGUGUUGGCCUCGGANCCGGAAACUUUAAAAUAUCGCCAACCANUGGCCAUUUGGCAAUCCCGNCCUCUUGGUUGGUCCGGGGGGCCGCCCCCCGGUCCCANAUUCUUCACCUUUUCUCGGUAAGUGGUAUUGCAGGUCCCUUUUUGCCGAACCCGGUCACCGUUCACCCUCCAGGGCAGA